GGUUAAGCGACUAAGCGUACACGGUGGAUGCCCUGGCAGUCAGAGGCGAUGAAGGACGUGCUAAUCUGCGAUAAGCGUCGGUAAGGUGAUAUGAACCGUUAUAACCGGCGAUUUCCGAAUGGGGAAACCCAGUGUGAUUCGUCACACUAUCAUUAACUGAAUCCAUAGGUUAAUGAGGCGAACCGGGGGAACUGAAACAUCUAAGUACCCCGAGGAAAAGAAAUCAACCGAGAUUCCCCCAGUAGCGGCGAGCGAACGGGGAGCAGCCCAGAGCCUGAAUCAGUGUGUGUGUUAGUGGAAGCGUCUGGAAAGGCGCGCGAUACAGGGUGACAGCCCCGUACACAAAAAUGCACAUGCUGUGAGCUCGAUGAGUAGGGCGGGACACGUGGUAUCCUGUCUGAAUAUGGGGGGACCAUCCUCCAAGGCUAAAUACUCCUGACUGACCGAUAGUGAACCAGUACCGUGAGGGAAAGGCGAAAAGAACCCCGGCGAGGGGAGUGAAAAAGAACCUGAAACCGUGUACGUACAAGCAGUGGGAGCACAGAGCAAUCUGUGUGACUGCGUACCUUUUGUAUAAUGGGUCAGCGACUUAUAUUCUGUAGCAAGGUUAACCGAAUAGGGGAGCCGAAGGGAAACCGAGUCUUAACUGGGCGUUAAGUUGCAGGGUAUAGACCCGAAACCCGGUGAUCUAGCCAUGGGCAGGUUGAAGGUUGGGUAACACUAACUGGAGGACCGAACCGACUAAUGUUGAAAAAUUAGCGGAUGACUUGUGGCUGGGGGUGAAAGGCCAAUCAAACCGGGAGAUAGCUGGUUCUCCCCGAAAGCUAUUUAGGUAGCGCCUCGUGAAUUCAUCUCCGGGGGUAGAGCACUGUUUCGGCAAGGGGGUCAUCCCGACUUACCAACCCGAUGCAAACUGCGAAUACCGGAGAAUGUUAUCACGGGAGACACACGGCGGGUGCUAACGUCCGUCGUGAAGAGGGAAACAACCCAGACCGCCAGCUAAGGUCCCAAAGUCAUGGUUAAGUGGGAAACGAUGUGGGAAGGCCCAGACAGCCAGGAUGUUGGCUUAGAAGCAGCCAUCAUUUAAAGAAAGCGUAAUAGCUCACUGGUCGAGUCGGCCUGCGCGGAAGAUGUAACGGGGCUAAACCAUGCACCGAAGCUGCGGCAGCGACGCUUAUGCGUUGUUGGGUAGGGGAGCGUUCUGUAAGCCUGCGAAGGUGUGCUGUGAGGCAUGCUGGAGGUAUCAGAAGUGCGAAUGCUGACAUAAGUAACGAUAAAGCGGGUGAAAAGCCCGCUCGCCGGAAGACCAAGGGUUCCUGUCCAACGUUAAUCGGGGCAGGGUGAGUCGACCCCUAAGGCGAGGCCGAAAGGCGUAGUCGAUGGGAAACAGGUUAAUAUUCCUGUACUUGGUGUUACUGCGAAGGGGGGACGGAGAAGGCUAUGUUGGCCGGGCGACGGUUGUCCCGGUUUAAGCGUGUAGGCUGGUUUUCCAGGCAAAUCCGGAAAAUCAAGGCUGAGGCGUGAUGACGAGGCACUACGGUGCUGAAGCAACAAAUGCCCUGCUUCCAGGAAAAGCCUCUAAGCAUCAGGUAACAUCAAAUCGUACCCCAAACCGACACAGGUGGUCAGGUAGAGAAUACCAAGGCGCUUGAGAGAACUCGGGUGAAGGAACUAGGCAAAAUGGUGCCGUAACUUCGGGAGAAGGCACGCUGAUAUGUAGGUGAAGUCCCUCGCGGAUGGAGCUGAAAUCAGUCGAAGAUACCAGCUGGCUGCAACUGUUUAUUAAAAACACAGCACUGUGCAAACACGAAAGUGGACGUAUACGGUGUGACGCCUGCCCGGUGCCGGAAGGUUAAUUGAUGGGGUUAGCGCAAGCGAAGCUCUUGAUCGAAGCCCCGGUAAACGGCGGCCGUAACUAUAACGGUCCUAAGGUAGCGAAAUUCCUUGUCGGGUAAGUUCCGACCUGCACGAAUGGCGUAAUGAUGGCCAGGCUGUCUCCACCCGAGACUCAGUGAAAUUGAACUCGCUGUGAAGAUGCAGUGUACCCGCGGCAAGACGGAAAGACCCCGUGAACCUUUACUAUAGCUUGACACUGAACAUUGAGCCUUGAUGUGUAGGAUAGGUGGGAGGCUUGGAAGUGUGGACGCCAGUCUGCAUGGAGCCGACCUUGAAAUACCACCCUUUAAUGUUUGAUGUUCUAACGUUGACCCGUAAUCCGGGUUGCGGACAGUGUCUGGUGGGUAGUUUGACUGGGGCGGUCUCCUCCUAAAGAGUAACGGAGGAGCACGAAGGUUGGCUAAUCCUGGUCGGACAUCAGGAGGUUAGUGCAAUGGCAUAAGCCAGCUUGACUGCGAGCGUGACGGCGCGAGCAGGUGCGAAAGCAGGUCAUAGUGAUCCGGUGGUUCUGAAUGGAAGGGCCAUCGCUCAACGGAUAAAAGGUACUCCGGGGAUAACAGGCUGAUACCGCCCAAGAGUUCAUAUCGACGGCGGUGUUUGGCACCUCGAUGUCGGCUCAUCACAUCCUGGGGCUGAAGUAGGUCCCAAGGGUAUGGCUGUUCGCCAUUUAAAGUGGUACGCGAGCUGGGUUUAGAACGUCGUGAGACAGUUCGGUCCCUAUCUGCCGUGGGCGCUGGAGAACUGAGGGGGGCUGCUCCUAGUACGAGAGGACCGGAGUGGACGCAUCACUGGUGUUCGGGUUGUCAUGCCAAUGGCACUGCCCGGUAGCUAAAUGCGGAAGAGAUAAGUGCUGAAAGCAUCUAAGCACGAAACUUGCCCCGAGAUGAGUUCUCCCUGACUCCUUGAGAGUCCUGAAGGAACGUUGAAGACGACGACGUUGAUAGGCCGGGUGUGUAAGCGCAGCGAUGCGUUGAGCUAACCGGUACUAAUGAACCGUGAGGCUUAACCUU
RNAcentral lists this ribosomal RNA (2906 nucleotides) under Escherichia coli. RNAcentral's name for it is "23S ribosomal RNA". It matches the Rfam family "Bacterial large subunit ribosomal RNA". Lineage: Bacteria; Pseudomonadati; Pseudomonadota; Gammaproteobacteria; Enterobacterales; Enterobacteriaceae. The record is from RNAcentral.